This 87-nucleotide transfer RNA is filed under the name bacterium. RNAcentral's name for it is "tRNA-Leu". It matches the Rfam family "tRNA". Rfam says of the family: Transfer RNA (tRNA) molecules are approximately 80 nucleotides in length. Their secondary structure includes four short double-helical elements and three loops (D, anti-codon, and T loops). The record is from RNAcentral.
GCCUGGGUGGCGGAAUUGGUAUACGCGACGGACUUAAAAUCCGUUGGUCUUACGACCUUGGGGGUUCGAGUCCCCCCCUAGGCACCA